GUGGGGAAUAUUGGACAAUGGGCGAAAGCCUGAUCCAGCCAUGCCGCGUGUGUGAAGAAGGUCUUCGGAUUGUAAAGCACUUUAAGUUGGGAGGAAGGGCAGUAAGUUAAUACCUUGCUGUUUUGACGUUACCAACAGAAUAAGCACCGGCUAACUUCGUGCCAGCAGCCGCGGUAAUACGAAGGGUGCAAGCGUUAAUCGGAAUUACUGGGCGUAAAGCGCGCGUAGGUGGUUCAGCAAGUUGAAGGUGAAAUCCCCGGGCUCAACCUGGGAAUUGCGCUUGUGACUGCAAGGCUGGAGUGCGGCAGAGGGGGAUGGAAUUCCGCGUGUAGCAGUGAAAUGCGUAGAUAUAGGAAGGAACACCAGUGGCGAAGGCGACUACCUGGACUGAUACUGACACUGAGGUGCGAAAGCGUGGGGAGCAAACAGGAUUAGAAACCCCGGUAGUCC
RNAcentral lists this ribosomal RNA (450 nucleotides) under uncultured bacterium. RNAcentral describes it as "partial 16S ribosomal RNA". It matches the Rfam family "Bacterial small subunit ribosomal RNA", at positions 354 to 796 of the family's 1533-position model. The record is from RNAcentral.